RNAcentral lists this transfer RNA (59 nucleotides) under Stygobromus foliatus. Its description in RNAcentral is "tRNA-Arg". The record is from RNAcentral. Lineage: Eukaryota; Metazoa; Arthropoda; Malacostraca; Amphipoda; Crangonyctidae.
GUAACAGAAGUACUCCGUACGACCAGUUUCGGCCUGGUAAGAGGCUAAGCCCUGUUAUU